Small nuclear RNA from Bombina bombina (fire-bellied toad), 111 nucleotides. The record is from RefSeq and is a predicted model, not a curated record. Lineage: Eukaryota; Metazoa; Chordata; Amphibia; Anura; Bombinatoridae.
GAACUACCUUAAAGGGACAGCACAUAUACUAAAGUUGGAGCAAUACUGAGAAGAUUAGCGUGAACCCUGCUCAAGGAUGACGUGCAAAUUCCAGACGCAAUCCAUUUUUUG